This 292-nucleotide long non-coding RNA is filed under the name Mus musculus (house mouse). Its description in RNAcentral is "long non-coding RNA chr4:34457889-34458181". The record is from RNAcentral. Lineage: Eukaryota; Metazoa; Chordata; Mammalia; Rodentia; Muridae.
AUGAUGAAAGGAACGUCAUCCUUUGGAAAGCAUCGCAAUAAGACACUCACGCUGUGCCGCCAUUGAGGCUCUAAGGCCUACCACCUUCAGGAGUCGACUUGUGGCAAAUGUGGCUAUCCUGCCAAAUGCAAGAGAAAGAAACUGGAGUGCCAAGGCUAAGAGACGAAACGCUACCAGGGCUGGUCAGAUGAGGCACCUAAAAAUUGUCUAUCGAAGAUUCAGACAUGGAUUCUGUGAAGGAACACCACCUAAACCCAAGAGGGCAGCUGUUGCAGCAUCCAGUUCAUCUUGA